This is a long non-coding RNA of Hypanus sabinus (Atlantic stingray), 660 nucleotides long. RefSeq lists it as uncharacterized. The record is from RefSeq and is a predicted model, not a curated record. Lineage: Eukaryota; Metazoa; Chordata; Chondrichthyes; Myliobatiformes; Dasyatidae. The transcript has 2 exons.
CACUAUGUAAGGAAACUGGAAUUGGCCGUGCUCAGAAUCUUUUGUUUUCGCAGGGUGCCCUUUGAGCGCUUUUCUUCCCCGCUGGCAUGUCCCCAUGACGCCCACUGAGUCGUCUACAGACCGGCAGCAAUGAGCAGGUUGCAGUGAGUGGUCCCCUCAGCGGAGAAGAUUGUUGGAUAACAAAAUUAAAAGAAGAAAAGAGCCGAAAAAAAUUAUUGCCGACUCCACCCAACCUAGCAGUCACCUAUUCACCAAAUUGCCAUCAGGGAGAUGCUACAAGUCCAUCACCAUCAGAACUAUAUGUCAUCUCUGAAGCUUCUUUCCUGUAGCUAUCCAAGCUUCUCAAAAUAACUCAGUCCAGGUGAAAUACCCUAACUGUCUCUGCACAACAUUUGUUAAAUGAUCUUUCCUGCUCUCCUUGUUUUGUUUAUUAUUAUUGAGUCUGUUGAUAUGUUUACAUUGAUUAUUGAUGCUUGCACAUGUGACUGUUCUACUAAAUGUUGAUUGCUCAUGGAUGUUUGCACUAUUGACUUGUAAAGUGUUGGUUACUAUUGCGUUGUCUGUUAUAGUAUGGUACUGUGUUUUAUGUUUGGCAGCAAACCACAAUCAAUUUUGGUAUGUUUCACAUACUAACAAUAAAGUGAUUCUGAUUCUCUUGGA